RNAcentral lists this unclassified non-coding RNA (353 nucleotides) under soil metagenome. RNAcentral describes it as "partial contains 5.8S ribosomal RNA, internal transcribed spacer 2, and large subunit ribosomal RNA". The stretch from base 1 to 120 matches the Rfam family "5.8S ribosomal RNA", at positions 35 to 154 of the family's 154-position model. The record is from RNAcentral.
GAUGAAGAACGUAGCGAAAUGCGAUAAGUAAUGUGAAUUGCAGAAUUCAGUGAAUCAUCGAAUCUUUGAACGCACAUUGCGCCCGCCAGUAUUCUGGCGGGCAUGCCUGUUCGAGCGUCAUUACAACCCUCAGGCCCCCGGGCCUGGCGUUGGGGAUCGGCGGAAGCCCCCUGCGGGCACAACGCCGUCCCCCAAAUACAGUGGCGGUCCCGCCGCAGCUUCCAUUGCGUAGUAGCUAACACCUCGCAACUGGAGAGCGGCGCGGCCACGCCUUAAAACACCCAACUUCUGAAUGUUGACCUCGAAUCAGGUAGGAAUACCCGCUGAACUUAAGCAUAUCAAUAAGCGGAGGA